GACGAACGCUGGCGGCGUGCUUAACACAUGCAAGUCGAACGGAAAGGCCCUGCUUUUGUGGGGUGCUCGAGUGGCGAACGGGUGAGUAACACGUGAGUAACCUGCCCUUGACUUUGGGAUAACUUCAGGAAACUGGGGCUAAUACCGGAUAGGAGCUCUUGCUGCAUGGUGGGGGUUGGAAAGUUUCGGCGGUUGGGGAUGGACUCGCGACUUAUCAGCUUGUUGGUGGGGUAGUGGCUUACCAAGGCUUUGACGGGUAGCCGGCCUGAGAGGGUGACCGGCCACAUUGGGACUGAGAUACGGCCCAGACUCCUACGGGAGGCAGCAGUGGGGAAUAUUGCACAAUGGGCGGAAGCCUGAUGCAGCAACGCCGCGUGCGGGAUGACGGCCUUCGGGUUGUAAACCGCUUUCGCCUGUGACGAAGCGUGAGUGACGGUAAUGGGUAAAGAAGCACCGGCUAACUACGUG
This 468-nucleotide ribosomal RNA is filed under the name uncultured bacterium. Its description in RNAcentral is "partial 16S ribosomal RNA". It matches the Rfam family "Bacterial small subunit ribosomal RNA", at positions 28 to 507 of the family's 1533-position model. The record is from RNAcentral.